GCUUGGAGUAUAAGCCAAUGGAGCUUGGAAGGCUUCCGCAGAUGGUGUCCAUCAUACGUGGUGUUCUAAGACCUUGAGUGUGGCUCGUCAGACGUAGCAUUGAGUUUGCCGGACAGUUGUCGUGCGGGGGGUUCAGCUUGUCGGACUUUGGCUUCGGCUGAAGGACUCUUCGGGCUGUCCCCUUUUGAAUGGACGUUCAGAACAGCUUGGUCUAAUGCGGUUAUGCCCACCACAGCACGUUGUGAGGUCACCCACAGGCUCAAACUGCCGAUCGCGCAUCCAGGAUGAUGGCAACGAUGCGUUGUUGUUGAUGGCUCCAGAGAGAGACCACUCACACGCGUGUCUAGUCCUGGGUCGGGCGGCGACCGAGAUAAAACCUGGUAUGAUCCUCUUGCGACGAGCUGCUUUCUGGCCAGACCGACGCCCGGGCGCUGCCACUGUGCCGGAAGCGCCAACCCCAGGCGGUGUGAACCCAGCUGCAUUAUGCAAGGUCUCUCAGCCGGGCGUUGGUCUGAGUGGUGUUAAGUCCAGCACCAUCGGUCACGUCUCGAAACACGGGCCAAGGAGUAUAGCAUGUGUGCAAGUCUAAGGGUCUCCCAAAACCCGAAGGCGAAGUGAAAGCAAGACUGAGGCGGGGGAGCUACGGCAAACCCGCCGGCCUAGUGGCGCGUGCGUCGCCUGGCUUUUACAGAGCUGAUCCUGUUUUCUCGGUUAAUUCUUGGUGCAGGCGCAAGCUCCGGGCUCACGUAUAACACUGGUCACGCCUCGCG
Molecule: ribosomal RNA, 770 nt
Filed under: Niphargus ictus
Lineage: Eukaryota; Metazoa; Arthropoda; Malacostraca; Amphipoda; Niphargidae
Description: partial 28S ribosomal RNA
Source: RNAcentral